GUUCCCCAGGGGAUGCCGAUGCAAGCUCAAAUCUGAGUCUUACAGACUGCAAUGGGCAGGUGGCAGGUGGUCUAAGGCACUGAUGCAGGGGUACAUGGAGGGGGUGCUGGGGCUCAUGCUGGGGAAGGGGGAGUGCCGAGGAAGGCUUGGAUUAUGAAUGACUUAUUUCGAGGUAGACAAAGAAAUCUGUGUUUGACUUGGUGGAGGGGAGUGGAUUCCUGGCAGAGGGAUCAGCACAUGCAAAGUCCCUGGGGCAUGCUAGAGCAGAAGCAUUCAGGACCUACAAGUGGUCAUGCUGGGCUAGAGGGGAGGAGGGGUGGGGGAGGGGAGGGCUAGUCAAUGGGCUUCUUGUGCUCUGAGCUGGGUUUUCUCAACAGAGCCAGGAAAGGGUUUAUGCAUGGGGGCGGGAAGAUCUGCAUCCUGGGAAGAUGGGUGGUUGAGAUCAAGGAUUUCUGAACCACAACAGGUGUUGGGCUAUCUUCUGGAAGGCAGGGCUGAGCCUGUGGUGGAUGGGGAGCCAGGGGCAGGAUGGGGCUGGGAUAUCCUGGGUCUGCCCUGUUGCCAGAACAUUCCCAGCAGGGAGCCACACCUACUGAGUGUUGAAACCCAGGUGGCCCUCUUCUGUCCAGCUCUUGGUCUCUCCAGAACACUCUGUAACUGUCUGGCACUAUAAUUAGUCUGGGCGUUCAUACCUUCCAUCCCCAGAGGGAGAGGAGACUACAACUAGGUCUGCACGUCAAGGUUCCAGAGCUGGAGGGGCGGCACUAAGAAAUGCAAGAUGCAGCCCAGACCCCCUCUAAGGGUGGAGCUGGAUGGAGGCUGGGAGCUGCGGAGAGGGGCCCAGGUGGAUGGUGGACUGGCUCAGGAGGUCCCUGGCCUCCACCUUGCAGUGCUGGCCUGCCGGCCCCAUGGAAGCCCCCAGCCCCACCUCCUCCUCAGAAGCCCAGGCUCCUCCAGAGGGCCCAGCCUCCCUUCUGGCCUUCCCAGCGCCAGAAAGACACAUGAAAGAGAACCGGGGCCUCUCCCAGGCCUGGAGCUCUUGUUUGGGAAGGGGCCUCUGAAGAGUUCAUCCAGUGGACAAGCUGGGCCAAUAAAAGAACACACAAGAGCCCCUCUGACCGGGAGAUUCUGUCCUGCUGACGCCCAAAGCGCUGCCCAGGUAAGAAGACAGCCCUGGCGCCCCGCUCUCCCUGUGUACCGCUGCCCUGUCCCCUGACAAUGCCCUGCCUCGUCCUCAGCUCUUUCUCAGUCUGUCUUGGCCCACGUCACCGCCUGCCGUCUGCCUUUCUCUGUCUCUCCCUCUCUUUCUGACCGCUCUUUGUUUCUCUGAUUUGCAAGAUCUGCG
This 1345-nucleotide long non-coding RNA is filed under the name Mustela putorius furo (domestic ferret). RNAcentral describes it as "lncRNA (ENSMPUG00000024710.1)". Lineage: Eukaryota; Metazoa; Chordata; Mammalia; Carnivora; Mustelidae. The record is from RNAcentral.